RNAcentral lists this ribosomal RNA (253 nucleotides) under uncultured bacterium. Its description in RNAcentral is "partial 16S ribosomal RNA". It matches the Rfam family "Bacterial small subunit ribosomal RNA", at positions 524 to 776 of the family's 1533-position model. The record is from RNAcentral.
GACGUAGGGCGCGAGCGUUGUCCGGAUUUAUUGGGCGUAAAGAGCUCGUAGGCGGCUUGUCGCGUCGUUCGUGAAAACUUGGGGCUCAACCCCAAGCUUGCGGCCGAUACGGGCAGACUAGAAUUCGGUAGGGGAGACUGGAAUUCCUGGUGUAGCGGUGGAAUGCGCAGAUAUCAGGAGGAACACCAGUGGCGAAGGCGGGUCUCUGGACAGUUCCUGACGCUGAGGCACGAAGGCCAGGGGAGCAAACGGG